GACGAACGCUGGCGGCGUGCUUAACACAUGCAAGUCGAACGGAAAGGCCCUGCUUUUGUGGGGUGCUCGAGUGGCGAACGGGUGAGUAACACGUGAGUAACCUGCCCUUGACUUUGGGAUAACUUCAGGAAACUGGGGCUAAUACCGGAUAGGAGCUCCUGCUGCAUGGUGGGGGUUGGAAAGUUUCGGCGGUUGGGGAUGGACUCGCGGCUUAUCAGCUUGUUGGUGGGGUAGUGGCUUACCAAGGCUUUGACGGGUAGCCGGCCUGAGAGGGGGACCGGCCACAUUGGGACUGAGAUACGGCCCAGACUCCUACGGGAGGCAGCAGUGGGGAAUAUUGCACAAUGGGCGGAAGCCUGAUGCAGCAACGCCGCGUGCGGGAUGACGGCCUUCGGGUUGUAAACCGCUUUCGCCUGUGACGAAGCGUGGGUGACGGUAAUGGGUAAAGAAGCACCGGCUAACUACGUG
RNAcentral lists this ribosomal RNA (468 nucleotides) under uncultured bacterium. Its description in RNAcentral is "partial 16S ribosomal RNA". It matches the Rfam family "Bacterial small subunit ribosomal RNA", at positions 28 to 507 of the family's 1533-position model. The record is from RNAcentral.